RNAcentral lists this ribosomal RNA (116 nucleotides) under Pteropus alecto (black flying fox). The record is from RNAcentral. Lineage: Eukaryota; Metazoa; Chordata; Mammalia; Chiroptera; Pteropodidae.
GUCUACGGCCAUGCCACCCUGAACAAGCCUGAUGUCUGACCUCGGAAGCUAAGCAGGGUUGGGCCUGGUUAGUACUUGGAUGGGAGACCACCUAGGAAGAUCAGGUGCCAUAGGUA